AUUUGGAUGUUCCUAUUUUCAGGAUUCUAAUCCUACUAAUUCUCUUUGCCUAAGAGACUUGAGUAUAUUUCUGUUUUUUGCAACCACAUGAUCCCUGACUAAUAUAGGAGUGAAAUAAGUUGACCCUGAAUGAGAGAUUUUGGGUUCUACAGGGCAGAGGAAAUGCUGCUCUUUUUAUAUUUGUAUCUCCCGAGUCCAAUGCAAUUAUUUCUAGAACCGAUAUGAUAAGCAAUUAAUGUAUACAAAUUUUUCAACUGAGAACUUAAUUCCAAUAAUGUAGAUGUAACAAUCCCUAGUUUACCCUCCCAAGACUAUCUUCUGUUUUCUACUCCCUUCAGAGUCCUUCUCAUCAUCUAGCUCCUCUCCCUGAAUAUUUGCCUCAGCAUUCUUGUACGGGACACAUGAAAGAUUAUUUAAAAAUUAAAUCUUUUCCACAUCAGGUAUGCACCAAAUUCUGAUGAAGAAAAAAUAUAAUGGAGUUUCUGGGUAUACUAUGUCAAAAUGUGAAGUUCUAUUUCCCCCAAAGGACCAGUUACAACAUCUUUAAUAGUGUGGUAGGCUUUAUAAUUCUUUAUCUUCAAAGAGUGGACUUCAAAUUAUUUUGUGGUAGCUUAUUUUUCUUAUGUUGGCACCAGAAAUAUAGUUUAGUACCAACCAAUGAAAUUUUUGCUCUUUAGUAUCAGAAAGCAAUUAUUUUAUAGAAGAAAAUUAGGGCUUGCAGUGAAACAUUUCAUUGUAACCAUCACAAAUGUUGUCCUAUUAGGUAGUUCAACCCAUACUUGAAUCCAUGGUUCUAUCGCUUCAUCUCAUCUCCCUUUACCACAAUCUCUCUUAAAACAGAGCUUCAUUCUGAUGGGUUACGAGUUUCAUCAGGUGCCCUGUGAUGCAACCUACUCUAUUUUCCAUCAAAGAUCCCUUCUGCUGAUAAUACUCUCCAUUUUCCUGUAGUUCAUUUCAUCAUUCUAUUGGCUUACUGGUAUUAUCUUUUCUACCAAAGGUGGAAUCUCCUUAUCUUUGUAUUAAUACCUUCUCAAUUCUUGCAUAAGCUGCCAUUUAAAUAAUAGUUUAUUGCUUUUUGGAUAAAAUAACUAUUCAUAGUGGUUGUGAAAUUAGUUACCCAUUUCUUGGGCUCUUAUAUUUCAUUCCUUAACUGAUAUCUUCUCCUCUCCUCAUCACCUCUUCUUCUGGGUUCACUGCAAUUACUGACUGAGAAAUCCUGAUCUGAAUGGGAUAAAGAGGAAAAAAUUGAUACAGUCUUUUAUACUUUGGCAAAUCAAAAUCACAAUUUCAAUGCUAUCUUCCAUUAGAUUGAUUUUCAGGGUCUAUACUAGCUGAUAAGUAGAACAAGAACACACCAAUUCAACCAUUUGAAGAUUAAAUCUAUUGUUUUCAUUUCUUACUUUUGAGAACUAUGUAAUCCAAUUUGACUUAAUUUGGUUGCAAAAGUGUCUAGACUUACAAUGUGAGGCAUUCCAGGUAAGGGGAACAAAAACUCACAAUAGGACUGUGCUGUGUCUAGGCUAUUAUUUUAAAACCUUGAGACAUGACUAAUGGAGGGACAUAACAACCACAAGAAACUCUAAAUUUUCUGUCCCAAA
This 1598-nucleotide long non-coding RNA is filed under the name Canis lupus familiaris (dog). Its description in RNAcentral is "lncRNA (ENSCAFG00845000325.1)". The record is from RNAcentral. Lineage: Eukaryota; Metazoa; Chordata; Mammalia; Carnivora; Canidae.